AGAGUUUGAUUCUGGCUCAGAGUGAACGCUGGCGGCGUGCUUAACACAUGCAAGUCGAACGGUAACAGGAAGUAGCUUGCUACUUUGCUGACGAGUGGCGCACGGGUGAGUAAUAUAUAGUUAAUGUGCCCCAAAGACCGGGAUAGCCACUGGAAACGGUGAUUAAUACCGGAUACACCUUCAUAUCAUAAGUUAUGAAGGGAAAUGUUUUUUCGCUUUGGGAUCAGACUAUAUCCUAUCAGUUAGUUGGUGAGGUAAAGGCUCACCAAGGCAAUGACGGGUAGCGGUUCUGAGAGGAUGAUCCGCCACACUGGUACUGAGACACGGACCAGACUCCUACGGGAGGCAGCAGUGAGGAAUAUUGCACAAUGGGGGGAACCCUGAUGCAGCAACGCCGCGUGGAGGAUGACGCAUUUCGGUGUGUAAACUCCUUUUAUAUGUCAAGAAAAUGACGGUAGCAUAUGAAUAAGCACCGGCUAACUCCGUGCCAGCAGCCGCGGUAAU
This 504-nucleotide ribosomal RNA is filed under the name uncultured Campylobacterota bacterium. RNAcentral describes it as "bacterial SSU rRNA". It matches the Rfam family "Bacterial small subunit ribosomal RNA", at positions 8 to 524 of the family's 1533-position model. Lineage: Bacteria; Pseudomonadati; Campylobacterota. The record is from RNAcentral.